Molecule: non-coding RNA, 755 nt
Filed under: Gaeana maculata
Lineage: Eukaryota; Metazoa; Arthropoda; Insecta; Hemiptera; Cicadidae
Source: RNAcentral
UAAUUUUGGCUAAAUUAUAUUAGGUAAUAAAUUGUUUAUACAUGUAAUUAUAUAAGUUUAUAUUAUAAUUCUAAAAGAAUUAGAUACUAUUCGCAGUAUAUAUUAUUAUUAUUUUAUUAAUAUUAGAAAUAGAAAUUUUAAUAAGAAAGGACAAAAAUUUGUGCCAGCAGUCGCGGUUAUACAAAUUUUUCAAUUUAAUAUAAAUAAGUUUCAGUUAAUAUAUUUUUUUAUUAAUUAGAAUUAAUUUUGGUGAAAUAAUGUUUAUUAAAAUAUAUAAUUUUUAUAUGGCUGAGAAACUAAUUAUUAAACUAGGAUUAGAUACCCUAUUAUUAUAAGUGUAAAUUAAAUUAACUUGAUUAUUAAUAGAUAUAAUCUUAAAAUUCAAAGAAUUUGGCGGUAAUAUACCUUUUUAGAGGAAUCUGUUUUAUAAUUGAUAAUCCACAAUAGAUUUUACUUUAUUAAAACUUGUAUACCGCUAUUAAGAAUGUUUUUAUAGAAUAUUUUCUAAAUUUAUAGAAAAAUUAAUGUUAGGUCAAGGUGCAGUUAAAUUUUAAAGAAAAAAUGGGUUACAUAUUUAAAUAUAAUUUGAAUUUUACUAAAAUAUUAGAAUUAUGAGAUUGAAUUUAAUAAUAAAUUAAUUAAAUUUAAUUAAUUGAAGCAAGCUCUAUAUUAUGUACAUAUCGCCCGUCACUCUCAUUAUAAAAUGAGAUAAGUCGUAACAAAGUAGUUGUACCGGAAGGUGUAUCUAGAAAGAC